RNAcentral lists this long non-coding RNA (974 nucleotides) under Malus domestica (apple). Its description in RNAcentral is "long non-coding RNA (MDOM_LNC016651)". The record is from RNAcentral. Lineage: Eukaryota; Viridiplantae; Streptophyta; Magnoliopsida; Rosales; Rosaceae.
UAUUCUCUGUCAACCAUAUAAAAAAAAAAAGCCCUUGGCAAAUGCAGCUAGCCAAAUUAAAUUAAGAAUUUCAAAACCCUCUUUUCUCUAUUUGUCAUUAUGUCUCUCUCUCUCUGGAUAAGAAGCUUUUGUACUUUAACACGUAAAAAUUGAUCUUUUAUAAUUAACGAUCAACAUUUUAUGUGUUGUUUGAUGCAGUGCACCUGUCGGCGUCCUAUAGGCUAUAGACAUUCUUCUAAUAAAUGAUUGAGCUUUCGUUUAGGAUUUAUUAUUUCCAUAGAUGCUCAUAUAUUUUUGUGUUCUUCAAGUUGCUAGUAUGUAUGUGAGAUGACCAUUCGUUGGCUAGAUACAAUUCUAUGUUAAAGAAGUAAAGGGGGAAAAAAAGAGGCUAGAUACUAUGUUGCUAGGAACAAUUUGGGGCCAUUCGUUUCCAUUUUAAUGCAAAACUAUUUUUGUUGCAAGUUGCAACAUGAAGAAACUUGCUCUUUUACAAUAAAAACCGAGUGCAACAUAUAUGAAAGGUGACAGAAGAGAAAACAAUCAACAUCUUGUUGCCACCACCUGCAGACUCAGACAGGGAUGGCAAUGGAUUGUGUUCGGGUUAUCUAUUUAAAUUGGUAUUGUGUUCAUCUCAACUUACAAAUUAAUUAAUUAAUAUGCAAGUCAAUGUAAAAUAAUAAUACAUGAACUCAUACUAUUCAUAUUUGUGUGAUGUCUGAAGUUAUCAGCCUAGAGUUCACUUAGGUUAAAAAUGACUCUCAAUCAUCACUUCAACCCCUUUUCUAAUCUUUUCACCUGUCUAAAAUAGUUUGCACUUAUUAGAUCUCAUGUUUUCAUGUUGAGCAAUGGUUUGAGGAGUCUCGUCUUAUAGUUUAUAUGUGAGAGGUUAAUGUUAGAGUUUUGAGACUCUUGUCCCACAUCGGAGAAAACAAGAUUCCCAAUAACCUUUAUAUAUGUUUUGUCUUCUACAAUAU